RNAcentral lists this long non-coding RNA (1280 nucleotides) under Takifugu rubripes (torafugu). RNAcentral describes it as "lncRNA (ENSTRUG00000027217.1)". Lineage: Eukaryota; Metazoa; Chordata; Actinopteri; Tetraodontiformes; Tetraodontidae. The record is from RNAcentral.
CUGCUGUUUCUGCGCGACCUGUGCUGAGGGAAGGAGCCGAGCGUGUGUUUACGUUGUGCCAAGUCUGCGUAUUCCUCUCGCGUCUCCGUCCAAUUACAAGGAAAGACUCUGCAGAGCUCCUGCUGAUUGGACACAGAGCAGGAGGAGUUGUGCGGGUGUCAGUCGAGCUCGUCUGCGCAAAGUUAUUGUUGCAUAGAAUAAAGUAACAAAUAUCGCAUCAGCCACACUUCGACCCUACCUCUUCUACCUCUACUACUACUACUACUAUUAUUAUUAUUAUUAUUAUUAUUAUUAUUAUUAUUAUUAUUAUUGUUAUUAUUGUUAUUAUUGCUGCUGUUGUUUUGUUGUUGUUGUCUUAUACAAAAUAAAUACUAGAUGUUAGUGAUUGCUGCUCCCCGUGAUGCCUUUUUGAAAGCAGCGGAGCUGCAGGGUCAAUUUUGGAUACAUGGAGCCUUUAUACGCCUCUCGCAUCCUAAUGCGCUCUUCUUUUCAUAUGUUAAAGGAAAUGUGGCAGUGGCGUGACGCGCCGCACUGCUGAGUCCUGAAGGUGCACAAAACCAUCUAACAGUUAGAUUUUAGUUUCGGUCCUCCAAAAAUUCAUCCCAACAGCUCCAAAACAACACAAGCUAGUUGUGCGGGGAUGUUUCCACGGGUGAGUUUAUGGAUGACCUGUUAAAUAAACGCGUUGGGCGGAAUUUUGAAACCACGGAGUUUGCCCGAUCUGAAGGCCCCUAGAAAGGAAAGUAUCGACUUGGACGCCUGGAGGUUUUGGACCGGAGGGGAGAGCCAGGUGCAGCCAAAUAAAUGUGCAAAUGUAUGUUUUUCUGUGGAAUCGACUUGGCUCAUAACCAAAAGCCCGUCUUCACAGACAGACGGGGAGGAGGGCAGAGGUCAGCAUGGAGGACAGCGAAGACACAAAGUCUCAAAACGAUGGAAAUGAAAGGACGCAGGCAGGCAAAGUGUGAAGAAAAAAUCACCACUAUUAAUCUCAUCUUCUGAUUUUCAGAGAUGAAAUGAUGGUGGGAUGGUGAAAGAACAGACACGGGUUCCACGUCAGCCACAAACAAUGAAGCACAUUAUAAGGGCAGUCUAGAUUACAAUUCAAACAUAUGAAUACAUAAAUGAAUAUACGGACAUAUUCCUGUAUCAUCUGCAUGGAGAUACAUUAUUCACCGCUUUCCUCUGUUCCCCGACAUCCAGGCCGGGAUAUCAUUAUACUUCAAUUAAUACAAAGUCUCCUCUUACCACUGCAGAACCACACACUUCGCAUAAGAUUUUAC